Molecule: small nucleolar RNA, 68 nt
Organism: Gasterosteus aculeatus aculeatus (three-spined stickleback)
Lineage: Eukaryota; Metazoa; Chordata; Actinopteri; Perciformes; Gasterosteidae
Source: Ensembl
GUCGAUGACGAAAACCUGCAAUAGGAAGUGCCGUCUGAUGCGACAACUGACGAUCCACUAUUCUGAGU